UUUCCGUAAGUGAACCUGCGGAAGGAUCAUUAUUGUAUAACCGAGGUGCGAGGGCUGUCGCUGACCCGAAAGGUCGUGCACGCCCGAGUGCCCUCACACACAUCCAUCUCACCCCUAUGUGCACCACCGCGUGGGUCCCCCUUUGGCUUGUUCGGAGGGGGGCUUCGUUUUUCCACCAAACUUGUUUUGCGUGGAAGAAUUUUUUUUUUUUUUUUCCGUUCCCGCAUCCAAAAAACUUUUAAACAACGGAUUCUUUGCCUCUCGCUUCGAUGAAAAACC
This 279-nucleotide unclassified non-coding RNA is filed under the name plant metagenome. RNAcentral describes it as "partial contains small subunit ribosomal RNA, internal transcribed spacer 1, and 5.8S ribosomal RNA". The record is from RNAcentral.